This is a long non-coding RNA of Pseudophryne corroboree (corroboree frog), 479 nucleotides long. RefSeq lists it as uncharacterized. Lineage: Eukaryota; Metazoa; Chordata; Amphibia; Anura; Myobatrachidae. The transcript is spliced from 4 exons. The record is from RefSeq and is a predicted model, not a curated record.
GCACGCCGGAGACCGCAGUGGAACGCAUAGACAACGAAUGCGUCCACUGCGGCUAAAAAACAACAUUUAAUAAAAAUUAAGAUUCUUGGGCACUUGUUAAUAAAGAGACCUAGUCACAGAUUCUAAUGAAUCAAUGAAAAACAAAGCAGAAAGAGGCAAUUAGGCACUAACAAGCUUCACACAUACAGGAAGUGAAUAUAUCAGGCUGAGAGUACUUAAACCCCCCUGCCCAGCAUGAUGUUACACUGCUGUUCAGGAGAGGCUGCUACUAUUCAAAGCUGAACAUUGUAAAGGUGGUUAUAGCUAAUAAAGACCACAACAGCAUAAUCCUACAGUUUGCACUCCUAUGAGGGCUGGACCCGUGGUGAAUAUUGAUACAUUCAGCGUGAUCAUUUGAUUUUAAAUCCUUUUUUGAAAUUGAUUGUGGGACUAAUUAUACCGUAAAAAUCGGUUUUUUGGCCCCUACUUUGAUUGGUAUG